Molecule: ribosomal RNA, 1277 nt
Filed under: uncultured bacterium
Lineage: Bacteria
Description: partial 16S ribosomal RNA
Rfam family: Bacterial small subunit ribosomal RNA
Source: RNAcentral
GAUUAGAGUUUGAUCAUGGCUCAGAUUGAACGCUGGCGGCAUGCUUUACACAUGCAAGUCGAACGGUAACAGGUCUUCGGAUGCUGACGAGUGGCGAACGGGUGAGUAAUACAUCGGAACGUGCCUAGUAGUGGGGGAUAACUACUCGAAAGAGUAGCUAAUACCGCAUGAGAUCUACGGAUGAAAGCAGGGGACCUUCGGGCCUUGUGCUACUAGAGCGGCUGAUGGCAGAUUAGGUAGUUGGUGGGGUAAAGGCUUACCAAGCCUGCGAUCUGUAGCUGGUCUGAGAGGACGACCAGCCACACUGGGACUGAGACACGGCCCAGACUCCUACGGGAGGCAGCAGUGGGGAAUUUUGGACAAUGGGCGAAAGCCUGAUCCAGCAAUGCCGCGUGCAGGAUGAAGGCCCUCGGGUUGUAAACUGCUUUUGUACGGAACGAAAAGCCUGGGGCUAAUAUCCCCGGGUCAUGACGGUACCGUAAGAAUAAGCACCGGCUAACUACGUGCCAGCAGCCGCGGUAAUACGUAGGGUGUAAGCGUUAAUCGGAAUUACUGGGCGUAAAGCGUGCGCAGGCGGUUUUGUAAGACAGUGGUGAAAUCCCCGGGCUCAACCUGGGAACUGCCAUUGUGACUGCAAGGCUAGAGUGCGGCAGAGGGGGAUGGAAUUCCGCGUGUAGCAGUGAAAUGCGUAGAUAUGCGGAGGAACACCGAUGGCGAAGGCAAUCCCCUGGGCCCGCACUGACGCUCAUGCACGAAAGCGUGGGGAGCAAACAGGAUUAGGUACCCUGGUAGUCCACGCCCUAAACGAUGUCAACUGGUUGUUGGGUCUUAACUGACUCAGUAACGAAGCUAACGCGUGAAGUUGACCGCCUGGGGAGUACGGCCGCAAGGUUGAAACUCAAAGGAAUUGACGGGGACCCGCACAAGCGGUGGAUGAUGUGGUUUAAUUCGAUGCAACGCGAAAAACCUUACCCACCUUUGACAUGGCAGGAACUUACCAAAAAUGGUUUGGUGCUCGAAAGAAAACCUGCCACACAGGUGCUGCAUGGCUGUCGUCAGCUCCGUGUCUGGAGAAUGUUGGGUUAAGUUCCCCGCAAACGAAGCGGCAACACCUUGGGCCAAUAUAGUUGGUCUACAUUCAGUGUGGAGCCACCUUCUUUAUGGGACAUUGUGCCGGUGUACAACCGGGAAAAGCAGCGGUGCGGCGAUGAGACCUCAAGGUAUUUAAUUGGGCCCUAAACCGGGGGCGGUGUGGGGGUUUCACACACAACACACCC